UACGAAGGGGGCGAGCGUUGUUCGGAUUUACUGGGCGUAAAGGGCGCGCAGGCGGUCUUGAAAGUCAGGCGUGAAAGCCCCGGGCUUAACCUGGGAAUUGCGCUUGAUACUCUGAGACUGGAGUACGGGAGAGGAGAGUGGAAUUCCCAGUGUAGAAGGUGAAAUUCGUAGAUAUUGGGAAAGAACACCAGUGGCGAAGGCGGCUCUCUGGACCGUAACUGACGCUGAGGCGCGAAAAGCGUGGGGGAGCAAACAGGG
RNAcentral lists this ribosomal RNA (258 nucleotides) under uncultured bacterium. Its description in RNAcentral is "partial 16S ribosomal RNA". It matches the Rfam family "Bacterial small subunit ribosomal RNA", at positions 524 to 777 of the family's 1533-position model. The record is from RNAcentral.